ACGGGGUGCAGCAGGCGCGAAAACUUCACACUGUGCGAAAGCACGAUGAGGGAAUCCCAAGUGCUUGCACGUAAGUGUAAGCUGUUUCUUUGUUUAAAACGCAUUGAGAGUAAGAGCUGGGUAAGACGGGUGCCAGCCGCCGCGGUAAUACCUGCAGCUCAAGUGGUGGCCGCUAUUAUUGGGCCUAAAACGUCCGUAGCCGGUUUAAUAAAUGCCUGGGUAAAUUGUGUAGCUUAACUAUACGAAUUCCGGGUAGACUGUUAAACUUGAGACCGGGAGAAGUUAGAGGUACUCCUGGGGUAGAGGUGAAAUUCUGUAAUCCUAGGGGGACCACCAGUGGCGAAGGCGUCUGACUAGAACGGGUCUGACGGUGAGGGACGAAGCCCUGGGGCGCAAACCGGAUUAGAUACCCGGGUAGUCCAGGGUGUAAACGCUGCUUGCUUGAUGUUGGUUGGGCUCCGAGCCCAAUCAGUGUCGGAGAGAAGUUGUUAAGCAAGCUGCCUGGAAGUACGCCGCAAGAC
RNAcentral lists this ribosomal RNA (521 nucleotides) under uncultured archaeon. RNAcentral describes it as "bacterial SSU rRNA". It matches the Rfam family "Archaeal small subunit ribosomal RNA", at positions 325 to 849 of the family's 1478-position model. The record is from RNAcentral.